RNAcentral lists this ribosomal RNA (484 nucleotides) under uncultured bacterium. RNAcentral's name for it is "partial 16S ribosomal RNA". It matches the Rfam family "Bacterial small subunit ribosomal RNA", at positions 29 to 507 of the family's 1533-position model. The record is from RNAcentral.
AUUGAACGCUGGCGGCAUGCUUUACACAUGCAAGUCGAACGGCAGCGCGGGCUUCGGCCUGGCGGCGAGUGGCGAACGGGUGAGUAAUACAUCGGAACGUGCCCAGUAGCGGGGGAUAGCUCGGCGAAAGCCGGAUUAAUACCGCAUACGACCUGAGGGUGAAAGCGGGGGAUCUUCGGAUCUCGCGCUAUUGGAGCGGCCGAUGGCGGAUUAGCUAGUUGGUGGGGUAAAGGCCUACCAAGGCGACGAUCUGUAGCUGGUCUGAGAGGACGACCAGCCACACUGGGACUGAGACACGGCCCAGACUCCUACGGGAGGCAGCAGUGGGGAAUUUUGGACAAUGGGCGAAAGCCUGAUCCAGCAAUGCCGCGUGUGUGAUGAAGGCCUUCGGGUUGUAAAGCACUUUUGGCGGGAACGAAAAGGACUGUGCCAAUACCACGGUUCGAUGACGGUACCCGCAGAAUAAGCACCGGCUAACUACGUG